This 253-nucleotide ribosomal RNA is filed under the name uncultured bacterium. Its description in RNAcentral is "partial 16S ribosomal RNA". It matches the Rfam family "Bacterial small subunit ribosomal RNA", at positions 524 to 776 of the family's 1533-position model. The record is from RNAcentral.
UACGUAGGGGGCAAGCGUUGUCCGGAUUCACUGGGCGUAAAGAGCGUGUAGGCGGCUAGGUAGGUCGGUUGUGAAAACUGGAGGCUCAACCUGCAGAGGUCGUCCGAAACCAUCUGGCUAGAGUCCGGGAGAGGAGAGUGGAAUUCCUGGUGUAGCGGUGAAAUGCGCAGAUAUCAGGAAGAACACCCGUGGCGAAAGCGGCUCUCUGGAACGGUACUGACGCUGAGACGCGAAAGCGUGGGGAGCGAACAGG